GAGCACUGUCAAGUAUUGGGAGAGGACCAUCGGGGAGGGCCUUGUGAAGAAGAUCCUGAUCCCGAAGCAGCAGUACGCAGGAGGCAUCUCGAGGUUUGCAAUCUUCUUUUCCUUCGUCUUUUUUAUUAAUUUCUUUCCCUAGAUUUCCAAUAUUUGAUUUCGCUUCUUUUUCGAUACAUCUCCUGGUUAAAAAUUUCCGAACUUUGGCUGAAAAAAAAUAAGUACUUUAAUUAGGUGGACAACUCAUGUAAGAUAUCACCUUUUUAUUGUUAUGCGGAGAUCUAGCUUUGCUUAUUGGACCCGUUUUUUCUUGGUAAUAAUGACAAGUUCAAAUACACAGGGAAACGAGAACAAAAGGAAGUAACAGAGAAAGAAAAAAAGUCACCGAACAUCAGGAAAUCCAGAAUUAUCCAUCCUUAACAAAAGGUUAAUUCAACUCCGAAGGCAGGUUAGAAUCGUCAGCGAAAUCCAUGUUGUAUCCUUUCCCAACCAACCAAU
This 498-nucleotide long non-coding RNA is filed under the name Elaeis guineensis (African oil palm). Its description in RNAcentral is "long non-coding RNA (EGUI_LNC030209)". Lineage: Eukaryota; Viridiplantae; Streptophyta; Magnoliopsida; Arecales; Arecaceae. The record is from RNAcentral.